Molecule: ribosomal RNA, 531 nt
Filed under: Knufia petricola
Lineage: Eukaryota; Fungi; Ascomycota; Eurotiomycetes; Chaetothyriales; Trichomeriaceae
Description: partial large subunit ribosomal RNA
Rfam family: Eukaryotic large subunit ribosomal RNA
Source: RNAcentral
GUCAAAAUGGGUGGUAAAUUUCAUCUAAAGCUAAAUAUUGGCCAGAGACCGAUAGCGCACAAGUAGAGUGAUCGAAAGAUGAAAAGCACUUUGAAAAGAGAGUUAAACAGUAUGUGAAAUUGUUGAAAGGGAAGCGCUGGCAACCAGACUCGUGCGCGGGGUUCCCCCUUGCUUCUGCUUGGGUCACUUCCCCGUGUCCGGGCCAUCAUCAGUUUCGGGGGCCGGUUAAAGGCCCUGGGAAUGUACCCACGCCUUCGGGGGUGGACUUAUAGCCCAGGGUGUCAUGCGGCCACCCGGGACUGAGGAACGCGCUUCGGCGAGGAUGAUGGCGUAAUGGUUGUCAGCGGCCCGUCUUGAAACACGGACCAAGGAGUCUAACAUCUAUGCGAGUGUUCGGGUGUCAAACCCUUGCGCGGAAUGAAAGUGAACGGAGGUAGGAAGGCUUAAGCCUGCACUAUCGACCGAUCCUGAUGUCUUCGGAUGGAUUUGAGUAAGAGCAUAGCUGUUGGGACCCGAAAGAUGGUGAACUAU